GACGAACCGUGCGAACGUUGUUCGGAAUCACUGGGCUUAAAGGGCGCGUAGGCGGAUCGGCAAGUCUAGGGUGAAAUCCUCCGGCUCAACCGGAGAACUGCCUUGGAUACUGCCGAUCUCGAGGGAGGUAGGGGCAGCUGGAACUUCCGGUGGAGCGGUGAAAUGCGUUGAUAUCGGAAGGAACGCCGGUGGCGAAAGCGAGCUGCUGGACCUCUUCUGACGCUGAGGCGCGAAAGCCAGGGGAGCAAACGGG
This 253-nucleotide ribosomal RNA is filed under the name uncultured bacterium. RNAcentral describes it as "partial 16S ribosomal RNA". It matches the Rfam family "Bacterial small subunit ribosomal RNA", at positions 524 to 776 of the family's 1533-position model. The record is from RNAcentral.